Molecule: ribosomal RNA, 568 nt
Filed under: uncultured bacterium
Lineage: Bacteria
Description: bacterial SSU rRNA
Rfam family: Bacterial small subunit ribosomal RNA
Source: RNAcentral
CCUACGGGAGGCAGCAGUGGGGAAUAUUGCACAAUGGGCGAAAGCCUGAUGCAGCGACGCCGCGUGAGGGAUGACGGCCUUCGGGUUGUAAACCUCUUUCAGCAGGGAAGAAGCGCAAGUGACGGUACCUGCAGAAGAAGCACCGGCUAACUACGUGCCAGCAGCCGCGGUAAUACGUAGGGUGCGAGCGUUGUCCGGAAUUAUUGGGCGUAAAGAGCUUGUAGGCGGUUUGUCGCGUCUGCAGUGAAAAUCCGGGGCUCAACCCCGGACUUGCUGUGGGUACGGGCAGACUAGAGUAUGGUAGGGGAGACCGGAAUUCCUGGUGUAGCGGUGGAAUGCGCAGAUAUCAGGAGGAACACCGAUGGCGAAGGCAGGUCUCUGGGCCAUAACUGACGCUGAGAAGCGAAAGCAUGGGGAGCGAACAGGAUUAGAUACCCUGGUAGUCCAUGCCGUAAACGUUGGGCGCUAGGUGUGGGACUCAUUCCACGAGUUCCGUGCCGCAGCUAACGCAUUAAGCGCCCCGCCUGGGGAGUACGGCCGCAAGGCUAAAACUCAAAUGAAUUGACGG